This 442-nucleotide ribosomal RNA is filed under the name uncultured bacterium. RNAcentral's name for it is "bacterial SSU rRNA". It matches the Rfam family "Bacterial small subunit ribosomal RNA", at positions 354 to 796 of the family's 1533-position model. The record is from RNAcentral.
GUAAGGAAUAUUGCGCAAUGGACGACAGUCUGACGCAGCGACGCCGCGUGGGGGAUGAAGGUCUUCGGAUUGUAAACCCCUUUCGGGUGGAAAGAUGGUUCAUGACAACAUGAACGGACGGUACCACCAGAAGCAGCCACGGCCAACUUCGUGCCAGCAGCCGCGGUAAUACGAAGGUGGCAAGCGUUGUUCGGAUUCACUGGGCGUACAGGGUGUGUAGGCGGUUCGGUAAGCCCUCUGGGAAAGCUCUGGGCUCAACCCAGAAAGGUCAGGGGGGACUGCCGGGCUAGAGUAUGGGAGAGGAGCGCGGAAUUCCCGGUGUAGCGGUGAAAUGCGUAGAUAUCGGGAGGAAGGCCGGUGGCGAAGGCGGCGCUCUGGAACAUUACUGACGCUGAGACACGAAAGCGUGGGGAGCAAACAGGAUUAGAUACCCUAGUAGUCC